Podarcis raffonei (Aeolian wall lizard) is the source of this 533-nucleotide long non-coding RNA. RefSeq lists it as uncharacterized. Lineage: Eukaryota; Metazoa; Chordata; Lepidosauria; Squamata; Lacertidae. The transcript is spliced from 2 exons. The record is from RefSeq and is a predicted model, not a curated record.
ACAGUUAUGGCAGUUAGUGGAACAGUCUCAGCUGACCAGCAGAUAUGUUCCGUUGUGCUGCUGUCUGCCUCAGAGUUAGAUUCAGGUGGAAAGCCGUGUUGAUCUGUCAAAGUCAUAAUAAAUAACAAGAUGGAAGGUGGAAAAAUCUUUUUUAAUAAUUCCAGUGGCACCUUUAAGAUCAACUAAAUAUAAGCUUUCAAGGAGAAAAGCUGUAACCCAGUGAGCUUCAGGGUCAAACUGGCAGGACCAUGAAAUGUGUACAGCAAGACUUUAUGUUCCCUGAAGACUACUGCGCUCAUAAUAACCAGAUAACAUUCAACGCACAGUUGUGUCAAAUGGAAGCUUUCAGUGAAGAAUUAGACAUAACAUCCUCAUUGGUGCAAUAAUAAUAAUAAUAUAGGAAAAUUCCUGCAUGUUAAUAUCCUUGGGGCAAGUAUUCUUUGGUGAGAGAACCCCAGCAGAGAUUUAAUGUCACAAAAUAGUGUUAUAGACAGUUUAAACCUAGAAAUUAAUAACUGCUAGGAUUUUGGUUA